This 866-nucleotide long non-coding RNA is filed under the name Brassica napus (rape). RNAcentral describes it as "long non-coding RNA (BNAP_LNC005295)". The record is from RNAcentral. Lineage: Eukaryota; Viridiplantae; Streptophyta; Magnoliopsida; Brassicales; Brassicaceae.
AUCCAUCGGAAGAAGAAGACGACACGGCGGAGACGGCGAAGAUGGAGUUCGAGAAGGCCCUCCGCUGCCGCCACUUGAGGGAUUGGACGGUGGUCCUGAGGAUGAUGGAGGGUUUAGAGUAGGGGAUCCAGGAGGAGUGAUAGGUGCGGUAGGAGAUCCCAGUGUAGUUGGAGCCGGUGGAGACGGCUGAGUUGGAGCGGGUGGAGACGGCUUAGGAAGAGGCGGCGAAGAUCCCGGCGUAGAUAGAGUGGGUGGAGAUAGAUGAAGAACAGAGGGUGUAGAGGGAGAAGACGGAGGAGGAAAUGUGGGAAUAAUGGGUGGCGGCAAAGGAGAAGAAGAAGGUGUGGUGGCUGUGGAGUUUGAUAGUGGAGAUGGUGGCUAAUCCGGGAGACGGCUCUGAGGACAAGUUUGCUUUGCUUAGAUCUAAAUAAAAAAGGAGAGAGGAGGCUAGGGUAAAGUUAAAAUAGGAGGAGUGAUAGGUGCGGUAGGAGAUCCCAGUGUAGUUGGAGCGGGUGGAGACGGCUUAGGAAGAGGCGGCGAAGAUCCCGGCGUAGAUAGAGUGGGUGGAGAUAGAUGAAGAACAGAGGGUGUAGAGGGAGAAGACGGAGGAGGAAAUGUGGGAAUAAUGGGUGGCGGCGAAGGAGAAGAAGAAGGUGUGGUGGCUGUGGAGUUUGAUAGUGGAGAUGGUGGCUAAUCCAGGAGACGGCUCUGAGGACAAGUUUGCUUUGCUUAGAUCUAAAUAAAAAAGGAGAGAGGAGGCUAGGGUAAAGUUAAAAGGAGAGAGGAGGCUAGGGUAAAGUUAAUUGAAUUUAUGUUUUAAUCCUUUUUCUAUGGGGAUGAUUUUUUGAACAAUGAAGCUGUUAUGG